CUGCACUAAGUCAAGCAGCUGACCACAACCAUCCCCUUCUCCCUAUCUCCUUUACUCAAUAAAUAUGAAGGACUCUAAAAGCUCAGGGCCCUUGUUCACUAGAAGCAAGGAGUCCCCUGACCCCCUUCUUCAAAACAUACUCUUCAGUCUUUGUCUUUAUUCCCGCCUUGGUCCUCCUUUGUUCAGUCCAGCAAGGUCCACAGCAAAGUGCUGCCCGAAAACAGGGUCUUGAGGACAUGAACAAAGAAGGUCUGCUGGAGCAGAGGAAGUGAAAUUGACCAGAUGAACAGGGACCCUGGGAUGAAUCUGCUGGCAGUGGAUAUAAGCCUUUAUACCCAAGAGAAACUCAGCUGGACACCAGUAAC
RNAcentral lists this long non-coding RNA (365 nucleotides) under Homo sapiens (human). Its description in RNAcentral is "non-protein coding lnc-GSTM2-1:2". Lineage: Eukaryota; Metazoa; Chordata; Mammalia; Primates; Hominidae. The record is from RNAcentral.